UACGUAGGGGGCAAGCGUUGUCCGGAAUCAUUGGGCGUAAAGCGCGCGUAGGCGGCCCGGUAAGUCCGCUGUAAAAGUCCAGGGCUCAACCCUGGAAAGCCGGUGGAUACUGUCGGGCUAGAGUCCGGAAGAGGCGAGUGGAAUUCCUGGUGUAGCGGUGGAAUGCGCAGAUAUCAGGAGGAACACCGAUGGCGAAGGCAGCUCGCUGGGACGGUACUGACGCUGAGGCGCGAAAGCUAGGGGAGCAAACAGG
Molecule: ribosomal RNA, 253 nt
Filed under: uncultured bacterium
Lineage: Bacteria
Description: partial 16S ribosomal RNA
Rfam family: Bacterial small subunit ribosomal RNA
Source: RNAcentral